Molecule: ribosomal RNA, 497 nt
Filed under: uncultured bacterium
Lineage: Bacteria
Description: partial 16S ribosomal RNA
Rfam family: Bacterial small subunit ribosomal RNA
Source: RNAcentral
GAUGAACGCUGGCGGCGUGCCUAAUACAUGCCAGUCGAGCGAACGGACGAGAAGCUUGCUUCUCUGAUGUUAGCGGCGGACGGGUGAGUAACACGUGGAUAACCUACCUAUAAGACUGGGAUAACUUCGGGAAACCGGAGCUAAUACCGGAUAAUAUUUUGAACCGCAUGGUUCAAAAGUGAAAGACGGUCUUGCUGUCACUUAUAGAUGGAUCCGCGCUGCAUUAGCUAGUUGGUAAGGUAACGGCUUACCAAGGCAACGAUGCAUAGCCGACCUGAGAGGGUGAUCGGCCACACUGGAACUGAGACACGGUCCAGACUCCUACGGGAGGCAGCAGUAGGGAAUCUUCCGCAAUGGGCGAAAGCCUGACGGAGCAACGCCGCGUGAGUGAUGAAGGUCUUCGGAUCGUAAAACUCUGUUAUUAGGGAAGAACAUAUGUGUAAGUAACUGUGCACAUCUUGACGAUACCUAAUCAGAAAGCCACGGCUAACUACGUG